Long non-coding RNA from Ictidomys tridecemlineatus (thirteen-lined ground squirrel), 1986 nucleotides. RefSeq lists it as uncharacterized. The record is from RefSeq and is a predicted model, not a curated record. Lineage: Eukaryota; Metazoa; Chordata; Mammalia; Rodentia; Sciuridae.
AGCCGCUGGAAGGGUCUAGAGGGCCUGACAGCUGGUCCUGCAGGAUGCAUGACAAGCGAGGACUGGGCACGGUACAAUCAAGGUACAGGGCAGCAAAGGACAUGAAAGGAGAACUGGGAAGGUGGAGAGGCCGGGGUGCUCCAGGGAGCCGCCUGGAGUCUCUCCCAAGCCUGCCUCUGCCCGCCGUGAGAGGCCGGACGGGUCACCGGGGAUGCAUGAUGCAUGAUGUCCCAUCUCUCCACCAUCUCUCCCCCCUCCUGACUCUCAGGGGGAAGUUCCUGUACCUUCUAAGAAACAGUCACUGAAAAUCCAUUUGAGUCUGGUGUCUACGUUACUCCAAGAAAAGGGACAGUGCCUCCCUUCCAUCACGGAGCUCUGCCAUCCUCACACGGUACCCCAGAUUACCAGACACAGGAGAGUCAGGCGAAAGCAAUCUGACACCAACGUCCUCCUCCGGGAAGACAAAGAAGAGCAGCAGCCCAGGGGGACCAGGGCCACCUCUGCUUUCAGGGUGAAGGGAAGAGGCCUGUAUGACACAGGGCCUGUCCCCUGCAGGGGACACCUGGGACACACAAAGAGAAGGCUUGCAAAAACUCAAACACAGAGACCAAAUUUCCAGAAUUCAAAAUUCCAUCGAGCCCGUGAGAAAAAGGAAAGACUCUGAGAAGGAAGGUGCAAUCUGGAAGGUCACAGGGGAGAGCGGGCUCAGAGCGAAGAGCAAAACACCAGGAAGGAGGGAAGGUCCCCUGAAAAGAUAAAGGGCUGGGGACCCAUCCUAGGGCCUUGCACUCUGGGCAGUCGCUUUCCUAAAGGAGAAGCAGAGAGAUGUGGAUCCGGGCCUGAGAGGGCUCGGCCGGGGGAGUUGAGACUGGGACACUGCCAGCCUCCGGCAGCCCGCCCUGCCCGGUGGCCCUCCAGGAGGAAGACCAAGCCCUGGGAGCUUCCAGAAAGCUCCCUGCCACAACACGGGCAGCUUCUCAUUUGCAUCCCUGGAAGUGAGAAGGGAGGAAACCAAUUUGCAGACUGGAGAGAAGGCAGCGGAGCGAGAAGAGGAACUGAGGGAAACAGACCAGAAAACGCUCUUGCAAGUUGAAGAUCAAAUUGGAACAGAAGUCUCCGAAGAACAGAAGACAGAGAAGAGGAGAAGUUACAGCAGCAACAAAGCUCAUUUACAGCUCCAUUGUAAUGGAGAAUACCGCACGAGGGAUGCGGUGUAAUUAGGAGGGAUUCUUCAGACUCUACGAUCAGAUCCGGAGACUGAAACUAACAGCUCUGACUACAUCUCCCAGCCUCAGGGGUUGUCGGGCAGUAGCACCCCAGCAACAAAGGGGAAGUCAGAGUGUCUGGACUUCUCUUCUUGGGGAAGUGAAGCAGAAAGUAAGACCUCGGGGGUGGAAUACUUUUUAAUAUGUAACUUGGAUAUGGCAAGAGAGAAUCAAAGGCUUCAAUAAGGUGCAGAGGCCAACGUUCAGCAUCCUUCACUGGUCAAACCAUGACUGGGAAGUGCAGUCCUGGAGCCCCUGGCCAGGGCAGCUACACUGAUCCCCGUGUCCAGCAGGGAUGGUGUGGCCCUGGGCCAGUAGCUGGGGUAGGUGGCAGCUGAGUCCUCCACUUCCUGGUUGUGCUAGAAAUAGUGGCUCCCUUUUGGGUCAGCUCCGUGGGGUGGCUUGGACAGUCACUCCCAAAAGCUCAGCCCAAACCUGCUCCCCCAGCUUCUCUGACAAUUUUGUAGGCACUGAACUUCUUGUAUAAAUCUCUCUCUGAUUAAACCUGGGUUCUGUUACUUGCAAAUGAACCGUAAUCAAUACAAAGUAAACGUAAAUAAGAUGGAAAGGAGAAAAACAAAUACAUCAUUUGUCACAAUAAAUGGGAAUGAGCUGCGGGGCGGGGUGGCACAUGCCUGUAAUCCCAGAGGCUCAGGAGGCUGAAGCAGGAGGAUGGCCAGUUCAAAGCCAGCCUCAGGGGCUGGGGAUAUAGCUCAGGGGG